Kwoniella mangroviensis CBS 10435 is the source of this 95-nucleotide transfer RNA. It matches the Rfam family "tRNA". Rfam says of the family: Transfer RNA (tRNA) molecules are approximately 80 nucleotides in length. Their secondary structure includes four short double-helical elements and three loops (D, anti-codon, and T loops). Lineage: Eukaryota; Fungi; Basidiomycota; Tremellomycetes; Tremellales; Cryptococcaceae. The record is from Rfam.
GACCGUGUGGCCUAGCGGUUAGGGCGUCCCCUUUACAGUUUCUGUUUGCAAGCGAGUGUCGGGGAAGAUCGAGGGUUCAAUCCCCUCCGUGGUCA